CAGCCCCUCGAGUGGUGGGGAUGAUUAUUUGGCCUAAAGCGUCCGUAGCCGGCCGGGUAAGUUUCCCGUUAAAUCCAACGUCUCAAGCGUUGGACUGCGGGAAAUACUGCCAGGCUAGAGAGUGGGAGAGGUCAGCGGUAUUCUGGGGGUAGGGGCGAAAUCCUUUGAUCCCCGGAGGACCACCAGUGGCGAAGGCUGCUGACUAGAACACGUCUGACGGUCAGGGACGAAAGCUGGGGUAGCGAACCGGAUUAGAGACCCGAGUAGUCC
RNAcentral lists this ribosomal RNA (270 nucleotides) under uncultured archaeon. Its description in RNAcentral is "partial 16S ribosomal RNA". It matches the Rfam family "Archaeal small subunit ribosomal RNA", at positions 477 to 747 of the family's 1478-position model. The record is from RNAcentral.